Molecule: long non-coding RNA, 9136 nt
Organism: Orcinus orca (killer whale)
Lineage: Eukaryota; Metazoa; Chordata; Mammalia; Artiodactyla; Delphinidae
Exons: 6
Source: RefSeq, a predicted model, not a curated record
CACUGAGUCAGGCCUCUGGGAAGUGAAGGCAUCAUGAGCUCAGGGAGAAGAAAGUUCUCAUCGUUUCCAGGUGUGGCCUGGAGACGCUGCUUUUCUCUUGGCCACCGCGACCUCUGCUUUGAGGACUUUUCCAAAGCUGCUCUACUGAGGACCUUUAUUUCCCUGGCAAAUGUUCUCAAAAAUGAGUUUGUUAAGGAAGACACCUGAAUUUGAGAAGCAGUGGGACAAGUGUCCCCAAAGCCCCGCCUGACUUCUCUCCUGGCCCAGCCCUGGUCUCUAAGCUCUGAAGGGCUGAAAAACAGACAUUUUCUCAGAUCACUGCAAAUCUCUGGAAAACCAGAUCCAGGACUGGAGAAAGUAAAGAAGAGUUCCUAUGAGGAAGGAGGCUGAUACAAACAGCAACUACAGAAAAUGACUUGCCCUGGACCCUGCAGUGGGUGCAUGCCUCCACCGCAUGCUGUGUCCUUCGGAAGAAAUCCAGGAAGCCUGAGGCCAGAGCGCAGAAUGUACCUGUAUGAUUCUGCAAAUCCCACACAUCCUAUGGGCAGUUGCUCCAUUACAUUCUACAGCACAGAAGAGUCUCCCAAUUCCUCAUGGCAGCCAGGCCUUGAACAGCCUGUGGGUGGCUUUUGUUUGGGCCAUGGGCUCUUUGAAAAGAUGACUCAGUCAGGUCUGCUGUCUGACCUUCUGGCGCCUCUCGAUUUCAGCAUCGCCUCCUCUGGGGACCUGCUUCACCUCCAGCACAGGCCAGGCUGCCUUAUACCCACAGCACCCCUGUCUCUCCGUGGUGUCGCCGCCUCUGUAAAGGUUGGGUUAGCUGUGUAGUCGUUUGCCGAGAUUUUGUCUCCCACCAGCGAUGCGAGGCCCCAGAGAAAGGGGUUGGAGCCUCUUUUGUUGUCUGUGAGCUGCCCAGCACGGGGCCUGGAACACUGUCGGCGCUCCAUAAGUAUUUGUGGAAUGAAAGAUGGACAAGAGACAACUCCCGACAGAGAUAGGGAAUCGCAGGGUGGAGGGACAUCGUGGAGCCGGGUGACAGGGGAGAGGCCGGUUUGUGAAGGUGACACGUCUGACUCAGCCCCGGUCCAGGAGGGGACCAGUUAGUCAGGCCUUCGCAGGUGCCGAUGCCCCAGAAACACAAGGACACUGAACACACCACAGAGCGACCUUUUAAGGUCAAGGCUACCACUUCAGACACUCCCCACGGGGCUUUGCAGAUACUGCUUUUCGCUUCUCUGUCUCCAAACCCCAAGAGGUUGUGAAGGCGUGGCCCAUAGCACCCGGAGGUUUCUGCUCUCAUGGGUGCAGCUCUGCCCUCUCUCCCUCCCUCCGCUGGUGUCUGUUUUAGACCUUGGUGGAAUUUAGCACCCAAACUCCCUGGGCUCCAUCACUGUUAGGGCUCUGUCAAUUCCCAGUGCUUAGAAAUUAACACUGUAUCCCACCCCUCCCCCACCCAAACCCCAUCCAUGGGGAAAACUUUUGGGGUGUCAGGCCAGUGGAGAUUUGAUUUAUUUAUUUUGCAUAUUUACUUCCAGUUUUAUUUUUUUUUAUUAUUAUUUUUUUUUUUGCGAUACGUGGGCCUCUCACUGCUGUGGCCUCUCCCAUUGCAGAGCACAGGCUCCAGACGCGCAGGCUCAGCGGCUCACAGGCCCAGCCGCUCUGUGACAUGUGGGAUCCUCCCGGACUGGGGCAUGAACCCAUGUCCCCUACAUCGGCCGGCGGACUCUCAACCACUGCGCCACCAGGGGAGCCCCAGUUUUAUUUUUUAAUGAAAAUUACUUAAAAACUUACACAUGCUCAUUAUAAGGAAUAUAGACACUAUAGCAAAUACAACAAUAAAUGUUUUAAAAGCUCCCCAAAUCCUACUAUCUAAAAAUUAUUACUGCUAAUAUUAGGAAAAUAUUAUUAGAUACAUUUUUCUUUGCAUUUACAGAGAGGAGGAUGGACGAACAGGUGAAAAAUGAUAUCUCAGUAUAAUUUUAAUUUGUAUUUCUCUUAUUAGGAGAGAAGUACAGAAUCCUCUCAUAUGUUUAAAAGUCAUCUAUACUUCAAUACCUGUGUUUUAUUUAUAUUUCUUGCCCAAUUUUCUAUUGGGGUUGUUGACUUCUUAUUUAUUUGUAGUAGAUCUUUUUAUACUACAUAAAAGAUCUUUAUAUAAGGUAAAUUAGCUCUUUGUUAUGGAUUCAUUUAAUAAUGUGCUGGAUUUAACUUUUAGUGAGUGGAUUCAUUUUUUUAAAUUAAUAUUUAUUGCAGCAUAGUUGCUUUACAAUGUUUGCGUUAAGUUUCUACUGUACAGCAAAGUGAAUCAGCAUAUAUCCCCUCUUUUUUGGAUUUCCUUCCCAUUUAGGUCAUCACAGAGCAUUGAGUAGAGUUCCCUGUGCUGCACAGUAGGUUCUCAUUAGUCAUCUAUUUUAUACAUAGUAUCAAUAGUGUACCUACAUCAAUCCCAAUCUCCCAUUUCAUCCCACCACCCUUCCUCCCUAGAAGAUUUUAAAAGUUCCCUGAAGGAUACAGGAUGGCUGUAGGGUCCCGGAUGUGUGGUGGAUGCUCUGCAGUAUUGGGUUUUAACACUGAUGGCUGCCACCAUCAGCCCGGCACUGGAAGGCUGACCCCAAUUCCCUGUGCCCACUCCCUUCUCCCACCACUGCCAGCCUUCUGAGAGGUGCAGAGGCAGACCCCUUGGCCUCCCCAGAGACUGUCCCUGAACCAUCCAUUCCCCUUCCGUCGGAUAGAAGGAGAAACUCAAAUCUAGAGGUGGGACCGUGGGGGCAGGUGGGAGGGGUUGGGUAACCUUCUCAGAAAACCUCUGGCCGCCUACCCACAGGAGAUGCAAAAUAACAACCAAUCCAGAAGGUUUCUAUCGUAUUCAUAGCCCACGCUUCCUUCCCCAGUGCCAGGUACUCUGCUCACUGCUCUUACGAAGGGAAGCUAAGCAGAACAUUCUUAUGGGGACCUACAACUGUCUCAUUUACAAAGGAAGAAGCUCUACCUGUCAGAGGGACAGGGCUGUCCUUGCCCGCCUCCCCCCUUUCUUCUGGGGAUGCUUAGAGCAGUAGAUCUCUUAUCCUCUAAUGGACUCCAAAAUGUAAUUCUUUUUUUUUUUUUUUUUUUUUUUGGCGGUACGCGGGCCUCUCACUGUUGUGGCCUCUCCUGUUGAGGAGCACAGGCUCCGGACGCGCAGGCUCAGCGGCCAUGGCUCAUGGGCCCAGCCGCUCCGCAGCAUGUGGGAUCUUCCUGGACUGGGGCACGAACUCGUGUUCCCUGCAUCGGCAGGCGGACUCUCAACCACUGAGUCACCAGGGAAGCCCAAAAUGUAAUUCUUUUUAAAAAUCAAUUUAUCAAUUUUAAAAUUGAGGUGUUAAUUGACAUACAUUACAUUAGUUUCAAGAGUACAACAUAAUGAUUUCAUGUUUGUAUGUAUUGCAAACUGAUCACCACAAUAAGUCCAGUUAACAUCUGUCACCACAGUUACAGAAUUAUUUUUUUUCUUAUGAUGAGAACUUUUAAGAUCUACUCUCUUAGCAACUUCCAAAUGUGCAAUACGAUAUUAUUAUUAUUUUUUUUAAUUAAUUAAUUAAUUUAUUGGCUGCAUUGGGUCUUCGUUGCUGUGCACAGGCUUUCUCUAGUUGCGGCGAGCAGGGGCUACUCUUUUUUUGUGGUGCGCGGGCUUCUCAUUGCGGUGGCUUCUCUGGUUGCAGAGCACGGGCUCUAGGCACGCGGGCUCAGUAGUUGUGGCAUGUGGGCUCAGUAGUUGUGGCUCACAGGCUCUAGAGCACAGGCUCAGUAGUUGUGGCGCACAGGCUUAGUUGUUCUGCGGUAUGUGGGAUCUUCCUGGAUCAGGGCUUGAACCCGUGUCCCCUGCACUGGCAGUCAGAUUCUUAACCACUGCACCACCAGGGAAGUCCCAAUACGAUAUUAAUAACUAUAGUCCUCAUGCUGUACACUACAUCCCUGAGACUUAUUUUUUUUUAUAACUGGAAAUUUUGACUCCCUUCACCCAUUUUUCCUGCCCCCCCCCACCUCUGUCAACCAUCAAUCUGUUUUCACAUGUAUGAACUUGGUGUUUUGACUUUGUUUUUGUUUUUAAGAUUCCACAUAGAGGGACGUCCCUGGCGGUCUGGUGGUUAAGACUCCUCGCUUCCAAUGCAGGGGGUGCAGGUUCAAUCCCUGGCUGGGGAACUAAGAUCCCACACACCACUCAGCCCCCAAAAAAGAUUCCACAUAUAAGUGAGAUCGUAUGGUAUUUUUCUCUCUCUGUCUGACUCAUUUCUAGCAUAAUGCCUUGUGUGUUGUUGCAUGUGGCAAGAUUUCAUUCUUUUUCAUGGUGGGAUAGUAUUCCAUUUACUUACCCACUUAUUUGUCCCUUCAUAUAUCUAUUUAAUCACGCAGUAAAUGAGCAUCUGCUUGGUGACGAGAUACCAAGGGCACCAAAGGGCAGAGAUUCUCAAAGUUUCGGUCUAAGGACCUCUUUACAUUGGAAAAAAUUACUGAAAUUCUCAGAAAGCUUUUGAUUAUGUGGGUUAGCAACAGUUACUGUAUCAGAAAUUACUGAGACAUUUAAAACAUUUAUUUGAAAGUAACAAUAAUACACACCCAUGACAUAUUAACCUAAAAACAUAUUUUAUGAAAAAAGUAACCAUAUUUUCUAAAAUUAAAAAAAUAUGUAGUGAGAACAGUGGUUGGGAUUUGUCUGUUGGUUUGUUUUUACAUGUUACAGCUCCCUUUAAUGCCUGGCGUAAUAGAAGGCAACUGGGUUCUCCUGCCUGCUUCCGCCUCCAAUCUGUUGUGAUAGUACACAUCACGUAGCCUCUGGAAAAUUCCACCGAACCGAGGGAAAGAGGCAAAUGACAUGCUGUUAUGAAAUAGUUGUGCUCUCAUGACCCUCUGAAACAGUCUUAUGGACUCCAGUGCCACGAGGACACACCAGCCAAGGGCAGUAGGACCAGACAGGGCUGGGGGUCACCAAGCAGCCUAUAGCGGCCCUGUAGGCAUGGCAGCCCUCUUCUCCCUCUCCCUUGACCUCCUCCUUUUGUUUCCUUCCAUCUCUUCCCGUAUUCCUCUCCAAACUUCCCCUGCCUGUUCCCUUGCUUGGCUAGGUAACUCCCUCUGGAAGCUCAGCGUCUCCGCUCACCUUAGGCUUUUCAGACUCCGAAGCCUGUAGCCCUGCUUUUUAUUUGGUGUGUGGCCUUGGGCAAGUUAUGUAGCUUCUCUGACCCUCAUCCACUCCCUCUUCAAGGUGAGGAAACUAAGACCUGACGCACAGAAGCAUUCUGUAGAGUCAAGGAGAUUUUAUAGUUAUAACCAAUGUUAAUGAUGCGGCCUCUCUCUGCUGGCAAGUUCUGUAGGCAGGGAAUGGAACAGACACACGCUUAGGCCCUCAACGGUUCUACGUCUUAGAGAAGAGAUGCAUUUUCAUUCAUAAAACAAAUAAGUAUCGAGUACCUCCUAUAUGCCUGACACUGGAUAACAUAUGUAAAGCACCAGAGUUCAGAUUAUGAAAUCCUAUGCAGCAGUUUUUAAAAUGAGGUAUUAGAAUAUGGUUAGAACUUGAAGAUACAUUAUUAAGUAGAAAAUGCAAGUUGCAGAAUGAUAUAGGAAUAUGUAGUACCAUUUAUUUAUAAGCAUGCAAACAUAUCUAUUUUUUUCUCUUAAAUAUUUAAUGUUUUGGGGCUUCCCUGGCGGCGCAGUGGUUAAGAAUCCGCCUGCCAAUGCAGGGGACACGGGUUCGAGCCCUGGUCUGGGAAGAUCCCAAGUUGCCCUGGAGCAACUAAGCCCGUGCGCCAUAACUACUGAGCCUGCGCUCUAGAGUCCGUGAGCCACAACUACUGAGCCAGCGUGCCACAACUACUAAAGCCCGCAUGCCCUAGAGCCCAUGCUCCACAACAAGAGAAGCCACCGCAAUGAGAAGCCCAUGCACCUCAACGAAGAGUAGCCCCUGCUCGCUGCAACUAGAGAAAGCCCACGUGCAGCAACGAAGACCCAACGCAGCCAAAAAUAAAUAAAUAAAAUAAAUAAAUUUGUUUAAAAAAAAAUCUAAUGUUUAGCUAUUAAUUACAAAUCUAAUUUCCCUUAUAUAAAGAAAUCAUGUAUUUUUACCUGAUACAUCUAAACAUCAUUUGCAAGUAUAAAGACCUGAAAUAACUUAAAAUGAAUUUACAAAAUAUGUUAUUUAAAAUAUAUUAUUACAGGGGCUUCCCUGGUGGCGCAGUGGUUGAGAGUCCGCCUGCCGAUGCAGGGGACAGGGGUUCGUGCCCCGGUCUGGGGAGAUCCCACAUGCCGCGGAGCGGCUGGGCCCGUGAGACAUGGCCGCUGAGCCUGCGUGUCCGGAGCCUGUGCUCCGCAGUGGGAGAGGCCACAGCAGUGAGAGGCCCGCGUACCACAAAAAAAAAAAAAAAAAAAAAAAAAAAAAUAAUGACAUUGCUUGAUAUAGUACCUGGCACAGGUAUAUGAAAUAUAUACAGAAGAAGACAUGAAAAGGUAAUUUCCUCUUCCAGCCAUGAUGAAGCCUCGAAUACUGGCCUUGCCUUCCUGCUGUAAACAACUGGAAAAGUGAAUAAGAUAAUAGGAAACAAUUGUUUUCAGACACCAGACCACCAGCAUCACAGGACUGUGGUCCCUGGAAGAAGGGUGACGUGUGCCCUCUGAUCGCCCAGCCUUCCACCUGGAGCUCCUGUCUGGCCAGACCGGCUUCCUGGGCGUGUGACCUGUGCACUUACAAGUGUCGCAAUCUUGAAGGGCCUCGUGCUUGGGUUAAUGCUCUGCUGUGACUGUCCUGGAAUUCUUAACUUUUGGACAAGGGUCUGGAUUGUCAUUUUGCUCCGGACCUUGCAAAUUGCCAUGUGAUUCCCACCCUUAGGAGUGCACCUAAGAGGCGGGGACCCGUGCAGACAGAUGCAGCCUCAGCCGGGGCAGGGCCGGGAGCCGUGGCGCUGCCUCGGCCCCGCCCUGAGCUGCUGAGCAGCCUUCUGCAGCAGCGGGAGCAGCCCUAGGCCAGAGCUGCAGUGAGUCACUGAACAUGCUCUGCCUUGGUGGCCAUUCUUCAGCCACCGACUGGAUUUUGACGAACAAACCAAGAUAACGCAGGGUUUCUCGACCUCGAUGCUGUUGACAUUUUGGACCGGAUUGUGGGGGCGCCCUGUGCACUGUGGGAUGUUAAGCAGCAUCCUUGGCCUCCACCCGAGAGAUGCCAGGAGUGCCCACCCCUGAGCUGUGACAACCAGCAAUAUCUCCAGACUUUGCCAAAUGUCCCCUGGGGGAGAAAUCACCCUGUUGAGAGCAGUAGCUUUAAUCGAGAGCUCGGCCCCAGGCCUGGCUUUUUCCUGUCUCUUCGAGACCUAACAGACAUCUAAUCUCAGCCUUAUUAGUACAAAGAUACUGGAUCUUUCUAGCUAUACAUUCUGAGUAAUUCCACUCGAAAUGGAAGCAAGAUGUGUGUGUGUGUGUGUGUGUGUGUGUGUGUGAGUGAGUGUCAGGGGUGGGAAGAGCCUGGCACAUUGAUUCCAAGACUUUUCUGGAAGUCUUGAAUCAGGGAGAUGAGGCAGAUAUGGAAACAGGGCAAAAGCUACAGUCAUCAAAACACAGCUUGGGGGACUUCCCUGGUGGCCCAGUGGUUAAGACUCUGCGCUUCCACUGCAGGGGGCACGGGUUCGAUCCCUGCUUGGGGAACUAAGAUCCUGCAUGCCACACGGGGUGGCCAAAAAUAAAUAAAAUAUUUAAAAAAAAAACAACACAGGGACUUCCCUGGUGGCGCAGUGGUUAAGAAUCCACCUGCCAAUGCAGGGGACACGGGUUCGAGCCCUGGUCCGGGAAGAUCCCACAUGCCACGGAGCAACUAGCCCGCGAGCCACAACUACUGAGCCCGUGUGCCACAACUACUGAAGCCCGCGUGCCUAGAGCCCGUGCUCCGCAACAAGAGAAGCCUGCGCACCGCAACAAAGAGUAGCCCCCGCUCGCCGCAACUAGAGAAAGCCUGCAUGCAGCAAUGAAGACCCAAUGCAGCCAAAAAUAAAAAAAAAACAAACAAAAAAUCCCACAGCUCAGCACUGGCAUAGGAAUAAACUAUUAAAGAAGGCAGAUGGGAGGGCAGAAAAAUACACAUGGACAGAGGUCAACUUGUACGAUUAAAGGGACGUUUCAGUCUGCCCAUCUGCACUGUUAGGGCCAUCGGCUAUCAUCUCUCCAUUUGGGAAGAAUAAAAAUUAUGUCUAUCUACCUUAGACCAUGAAUACAUCUCCCUUCCCACUUACCCCCCCAUACCAGCUGCAUUAAAGAUCGAAACAUUAACAAGAAUGUAUGAAAAUCAUUGAAAAAUAUCGUUCCAGUUUUAGUACAUGUGCUGCCGAGGCGAGGACUGAAAAAAUAUUGAAGAAAACGUACCUUGAUAGAAAAAUGGGCAAGUAGCACACAUGGUUUGCAGAAGUCACACAUAUGACCAGCGAAUAUUUGAAAACAUGCAAAUCAAAUGUACCCUUUUUCUUUUGAGCUAAUAGCCGAUCGCCAAAAGUUAGGGAUCGGUAAAAUCACCUCUUUCCGCUUUGUAAUUGGGAGGAAAUGGACACGUUCUCUACACUGCUAAUGGAGAUCGUGCUGCUCUCCUAGGCUCUGGUGCCCAAAUCCCACUUCUAGGCAUCACACCUGGAAAAGGUACGUCUGCGUUUCUGCAGGCUCUCAAAGUCUCUCGUAGACUCACCCUGGCAAGCCCGAGGCCUUAAAGAGCCUGCGGCCGUGUUUUGUUUGUCCCACAGGCUAUUUUAAAAGACAACUUGACUCAACUUGUUAGGAUGUGAGUUUAGUCUUCAGCAGACAGGUUAGUACGUAGUGUCGUCUUUACCCAUUUCUGCCACCUCCCUGGCUCUGAAGGGCAAGUUACUAAAGCACUGCGUUCCUGGGUUCCUGCACAUGCAGAGUGGAAAGAGUAAUAGUUCCCCUUCAUGGGGUUCCUGCAGGAUUAAAUGAGAUAAUACAUGCAAAGGCCCUGGAAGAGUAAGCCACACGUGGUAAGUGUCAAAGCAGGUCAGCUAGGAUGCAUAGGAAAAAGGCAAGUAAAAGCAAAAAAUUCUAAUGUGACAGCUAUCAUAAACGGUAAACUUAAAACCAGCAAAAGAGAAAAAAAAAAAAAGGAAGGAAGGAAGAAGAAAAA